RNAcentral lists this ribosomal RNA (226 nucleotides) under uncultured bacterium. RNAcentral describes it as "partial 16S ribosomal RNA". It matches the Rfam family "Bacterial small subunit ribosomal RNA", at positions 538 to 763 of the family's 1533-position model. The record is from RNAcentral.
GCGUUAAUCGGAAUUACUGGGCGUAAAGCGUGCGCAGGCGGUUGUAUAAGACAGGCGUGAAAUCCCCGGGCUCAACCUGGGAAUGGCGCUUGUGACUGCACGGCUGGAGUGCAGCAGAGGGGGAUGGAAUUCCGCGUGUAGCAGUGAAAUGCGUAGAUAUGCGGAGGAACACCGAUGGCGAAGGCAGUCCCCUGGGCCUGCACUGACGCUCAUGCACGAAAGCGUG